RNAcentral lists this ribosomal RNA (253 nucleotides) under uncultured bacterium. Its description in RNAcentral is "partial 16S ribosomal RNA". It matches the Rfam family "Bacterial small subunit ribosomal RNA", at positions 524 to 776 of the family's 1533-position model. The record is from RNAcentral.
UACGUAGGGUGCAGGCGUUAAUCGGAAUUACUGGGCGUAAAGCGUGCGCAGGCGGUUUCUUAAGUCAGAUGUGAAAGCCCCGGGCUUAACCUGGGAACUGCGUUUGAAACUGGGAGACUUGAGUGUGGCAGAGGGGGGUGGAAUUCCACGUGUAGCAGUGAAAUGCGCAGAUAUCAGGAGGAACACCGGUGGCGAAGGCGGUGGUCUGGGCCGGCACUGACGCUGAGACGCGAAAGCGUGGGGAGCAAACAGG